RNAcentral lists this ribosomal RNA (403 nucleotides) under uncultured bacterium. Its description in RNAcentral is "partial 16S ribosomal RNA". It matches the Rfam family "Bacterial small subunit ribosomal RNA", at positions 28 to 526 of the family's 1533-position model. The record is from RNAcentral.
GACGAACGCUGGCGGCGUGCCUAAUACAUGCAAGUCGAACGCAGUGGGGACGGGUGAGUAACACGUGGGUAACCUCCCAUCAGAGGGGAUAACACUUGGAAACAGGUGCUAAACCGCUACUGAUGGAUGGACCCGCGGUGCAUUAGGUAGUUGGUGAGGUAACGGCUCACCAAGGCCACGAUGCAGAGCGGAGCUGAUAGGGUGAUCGGACACACUGGGACUGAGAAACGGCCCAGACUACUACGGGAGGCAGCAGGAGGGAAUAUUCGGCAAUGGACGAAAGUCUGACCGAGCAACGCCGCGUGAGUGAAGAAGGUUUUCGGAUUGUAAAACUCUGUUGGUAGAGAAGCGGUACCUAAACAGAAAGCCACGGCUAACUACGUGCCAGCAGCCGCGGUAAUAC